RNAcentral lists this microRNA precursor (61 nucleotides) under Chrysemys picta bellii (western painted turtle). RNAcentral's name for it is "Cpi-Mir-192-P2_pre stem-loop". It matches the Rfam family "mir-192/215 microRNA precursor family", at positions 9 to 68 of the family's 76-position model. Rfam says of the family: This family represents the human microRNA (miRNA) precursors mir-192 and mir-215. Animal miRNAs are transcribed as ~70nt precursors and subsequently processed by the Dicer enzyme to give a ~22nt product. The record is from RNAcentral. Lineage: Eukaryota; Metazoa; Chordata; Testudines; Emydidae.
AUGACCUAUGAAUUGACAGACUGUGUCUUCUAAAUUUGUCUGUCACUUCUGUAGGCCAAUA